CCUACGGGUGGCAGCAGUAGGGAAUUUUCGGCAAUGGGGGGAACCCUGACCGAGCAACGCCGCGUGAACGAAGAAGUUAUUCGUAAUGUAAAGUUCUUUUAACAGGGAAGAAAGAGAAAUUUUACGGUACCUGAAGAAUAAGCUCCGGCUAACUACGUGCCAGCAGCCGCGGUAAUACGUAGGGAGAGAGCGUUAUCCGUAAUUAUUGGCCGAAAAGGGUGCGUAGAUGGCAUAGUAAGUCUUUUGUAAAAAUGCUGGGCUCAACCCAGUAGGGCAAAAGAUACUGCAAAGCUAGAGUAUGACAGAGGCAAGCGGAACUAGAGGUGUAGCGGUAAAAUGCGUAAAUAUAAGGAAGAACACCAAUGGCGAAGGCAGCUUGCUGGGUCGAUACUGACAUUGAGGCACGAAAGCGUGGGGAGCAAACAGGAUUAGAUACCCUUGUAGUC
RNAcentral lists this ribosomal RNA (446 nucleotides) under uncultured bacterium. RNAcentral's name for it is "partial 16S ribosomal RNA". It matches the Rfam family "Bacterial small subunit ribosomal RNA", at positions 338 to 795 of the family's 1533-position model. The record is from RNAcentral.